GACGAACGCUGGCGGCGUGCCUAAUACAUGCAAGUCGAACGGUCUUUUCUAUGGAAGCUUGCUUCCACUGAGAAGAUAGUGGCGAACGGGUGAGUAACACGUGGGUAACCUGCCCAUAAGAGGGGGAUAACAUCCGGAAACGGGUGCUAAUACCGCAUAGUUUUCUUGAUCGCAUGAUUGGGAAAGGAAAGACGGCCUUUGUGCUGUCGCUUAUGGAUGGACCCGCGGCGUAUUAGUUAGUUGGUGAGGUAACGGCUCACCAAGACGAUGAUACGUAGCCGACCUGAGAGGGUGAUCGGCCACAUUGGGACUGAGACACGGCCCAAACUCCUACGGGAGGCAGCAGUAGGGAAUCUUCCGCAAUGGACGAAAGUCUGACGGAGCAACGCCGCGUGAGUGAAGAAGGUUUUCGGAUCGUAAAACUCUGUUGUCAGAGAAGAACAAGUUGGAGAGUAACUGCUCCAGCCUUGACGGUAUCUGACCAGAAAGCCACGGCUAACUACGUG
This 506-nucleotide ribosomal RNA is filed under the name uncultured bacterium. RNAcentral's name for it is "bacterial SSU rRNA". It matches the Rfam family "Bacterial small subunit ribosomal RNA", at positions 28 to 507 of the family's 1533-position model. The record is from RNAcentral.